Molecule: ribosomal RNA, 253 nt
Filed under: uncultured bacterium
Lineage: Bacteria
Description: partial 16S ribosomal RNA
Rfam family: Bacterial small subunit ribosomal RNA
Source: RNAcentral
UACGGAGGAUGCAAGCGUUAUCCGGAAUUAUUGGGCGUAAAGCGUCCGCAGGUGGUUUUACAAGACUGCUGUCAAAGCGCGGAGCUUAACUUCGUAUCGGCAGUGGAAACUGUGGAACUAGAGUUUGGUAGGGGUCACGGGAAUUCCCAGUGUAGCGGUGAAAUGCGUAGAUAUUGGGAAGAACACCAGCGGCGAAAGCGCGUGACUGGGCCUGAACUGACACUCAUGGACGAAAGCUAGGGGAGCGAAAGGG